GUUGCAUUUUUUUAUGAAAUGAAGCACAAAUUGAGAGUUUCUGAUGGAUUUUCUUAACUCAAAGUGAGUAGCUGGGAUUUAGUUUAACCCCGAAUUCUUUUCUUAUCCGGAAACUCUCAAUAUGUGUUUUAUUUUUCACUCCAAAAAUUCAAAUGCGUUGUUGCAAUUCUAAUGAACUGAAAUGAGAUGUAAUUGCUUCUAAUGCAGAGAAUGCAAAAAUACCUUUCCUGAUAUACAGUUCCUUUGCAACUGAUGUUUCAAAUUUAAUAGUGCAAUUUAUACAAAAACAAUAGUUUCUGAAACGAUUUUUUAUUAUUUUAGUAACAAAAUCAAAAUAUUCAUAGAUUUGUUCCGUUUAGGCAUAAAUGCAUAAAUAGUCGCCACUGUUCCUAAAUUUACCCCUAAAUUUACGAAUGGACUCGUCCGCGACGAGUUUUUGUCUCUGCGCAUUUCUACCACCGUGGAUGAUCUGUCAUUUUGCAGACCCUACUGACCAGUGUGGCCAACUUUUUGAUUGCGCAUUACCGUAACGCGCAAUUCAAAAUUCCGUACCAAGCUUUAUGAAUACCGUACAUCUGAGGAAGCAGGGAAUUUUGAUAAAAAAAAAUUAAAUUCGAAUUCUAUAUUAAUAAAAAAAACAACAAAAAAUAAACUCCAGAAACAUAAACAAAAAAUAAAUUAAAAAAUAAAUAAAAAAAUUAUUCAUCAGUAUGUAAGGAACAUAAAAUGACCUCUUCUGCAUUAUUCAUCAGUCUCUAACGAAAAUAAAAAGUCCUCUUCUGCGUCAGAAUCUGCAUUUUCUAAAGCAGAAGCUGUGGCAGUACUUUGAAAACUAGAAUGAGAAGCGGAUUUUUUGCCAUACAACUCGGUGGUUGUCAUGCGGCUUAGCAUGUCGGAAUUAACUUUAAAAUCGAUGCAAUUACCUGACAUGCUAACGCACUGUUUGCUUAACAAAACACCAUUUAAUGUUUCUGUUAUGAGUCUAUUUCGACUUUUUGUCUUGAUUAGAUUAGUUUGUGAAAAGACUCGUUCGCAAGCUGCGUUAGAAUGCGGUAAACUUAAUAUAUUUAACACAAAUCUGGCUAAAUCUUUAAAUAUAAAAUUGUCAGUGUCAUCCGAAAAUUUUAGAAUUUUACCCCAAAAUAUAUCAACUUCAUCACUUACACUUAUAAGUGUAUUUUCGGGAAAUACAUAUUGGGGUAAAAGCCGCCACUGAUCAUCAAUAGACUGGCGAUCUUCAGUCUUAUGAAAUCUGUUUAGUGUUACAAGUAAGGGAAAUAAAGAUGGAUAUUUUUUUCGAACAUCAUAAGAAAGAGAAUUCUUAGGCGAAAAAAUAUAUAACUGAGACAAAAUAACGUCAUCAAAAUUAAAUCGUUUUUUUAUUUCCCUACACAAAACCUGAAAAAAUUUUUUACAUCGAUCAUAAAAAUCAUUCAAAGCUUCUUCAUUAUUGUUUAUUUCCGGUUUUUUAAUUUCGUUCAUCACGUCUACUCCAAGAUAUAAAUUUGAAUUUGGUAAUAAAUAAGAACCAUUUUCAGGAUUUAUUUCGCUUAAAGGUGUUGUUCGCACGUAACGAUUUUCCAUAUAAUACAAGAGGAGUUCCGUAUACUUUUCUCUAAUGGAACUGUGUAACACAAAAUUUAAAAAAACUAAAUAUAAUUUAACAAACGCAUCAUUUAAACAGUGAUAAAUUUGUUCGGAAGCCAAAAGUCGUUGGUCUAAAUAUUUUUCGUUAAAAAAUAAUUGAAGCGCUGCCCACUGUUCCAGCAGUCUUGAAACUACUUGUCCUAAGGACAACCAUCGAGUUUGGGAUGGAUGCAAAAGUUUGUGAACUUCAACCUCGACGAAAUGCUGAAAUUGCCUGUAUUCGAAUUGUCUUUUUGAACUUGACUAAAA
Molecule: long non-coding RNA, 1896 nt
Organism: Tribolium castaneum (red flour beetle)
Lineage: Eukaryota; Metazoa; Arthropoda; Insecta; Coleoptera; Tenebrionidae
Exons: 2
Source: RefSeq, a predicted model, not a curated record